GCAUAUCAAUAAGCGGAGGAAAAAAAACUAACAAGGAUUCCCUUAGUAACUGCGAGUGAAGUGGGAAAAGCUCAAAUUUAAAAUCUGAUAGUCUUUGGCUGUCCGAAUUGUAAUCUAAAGAAGCAUUAUCUGCACUGGACCAUGUAUAAGUCUUCUGGAAUGGAGCAUCAUAGAGGGUGAGAAUCCUGUCUUUGACAUGGACUACCAGGGCUUUUGUGAUAUGCUCUCAAAGAGUCGAGUUGUUUGGGAAUGCAGCUCUAAAUGGGUGGUAAAUUCCAUCUAAAGCUAAAUAUUGGCGAGAGACCGAUAGUGAACAAGUACCGUGAGGGAAAGAUGAAAAGAACUUUGGAAAGAGAGUUAAAUAGUACGUGAAAUUGUUGAAAGGGAAACACUUGAAGUCAGUCACAUUAAUCAGAGAUCAACCCUGUUUUUUUACUUGGUGUAUUUUCUGUUUAAUGGGUCAGCAUCAAUUUCAACUAGUAGAAAAAGAUUGAAAGAAUGUGGCAUUUUUGAAUGUGUUAUAGCUUUCAGUUAUAUAUACUAGUUGAGAUUGAGGAAUUCAGCAUGCCGCAAGGCCGGAUUUUUAAAUCACGUUCAUGCUUAGGAUGCUGACAUUUAAUGGCUUUAAUUGACCCGUCUUGAAACACGGACCA
RNAcentral lists this ribosomal RNA (653 nucleotides) under Trichopilus vividus. RNAcentral describes it as "partial large subunit ribosomal RNA". It matches the Rfam family "Eukaryotic large subunit ribosomal RNA", at positions 38 to 668 of the family's 3401-position model. Lineage: Eukaryota; Fungi; Basidiomycota; Agaricomycetes; Agaricales; Entolomataceae. The record is from RNAcentral.